RNAcentral lists this ribosomal RNA (197 nucleotides) under uncultured bacterium. RNAcentral describes it as "partial 16S ribosomal RNA". It matches the Rfam family "Bacterial small subunit ribosomal RNA", at positions 328 to 539 of the family's 1533-position model. The record is from RNAcentral.
ACGCUCGACACCUACGGGGGGCAGCAGUCGGGAAUAUUGCGCAAUGGAGGAAACUCUGACGCAGUGACGCCGCGUAUGGGAAGAAGGUUUUCGGAUUGUAAACCAUUUUAGACAAGGAAGAAACAAGACAGUACUUGUAGAAUAAGCUCCGGCUAACUACGUGCCAGCAGCCGGUAAUCUGAGCGGGCUGGCAAGGC